GAUGAACGCUGGCGGCGUGCCUAAUACAUGCAAGUCGAGCGAACAGACGAGGAGCUUGCUCCUCUGACGUUAGCGGCGGACGGGUGAGUAACACGUGGAUAACCUACCUAUAAGACUGGGAUAACUUCGGGAAACCGGAGCUAAUACCGGAUAAUAUAUUGAACCGCAUGGUUCAAUAGUGAAAGACGGUUUUGCUGUCACUUAUAGAUGUAUCCGCGCCGCAUUAGCUAGUUGGUAAGGUAACGGCUUACCAAGGCAACGAUGCGUAGCCGACCUGAGAGGGUGAUCGGCCACACUGGAACUGAGACACGGUCCAGACUCCUACGGGAGGCAGCAGUAGGGAAUCUUCCGCAAUGGGCGAAGGCUUGACGGAGCAACGCCGCGUGAGUGAUGAAGGUCUUCGGAUCGUAAAACUCUGUUAUUAGGGAAGAACAAAUGUGUAAGUAACUAUGCACGUCUUGACGGUACCUAAUCAGAAAGCCACGGCUAACUACGUG
This 497-nucleotide ribosomal RNA is filed under the name uncultured bacterium. Its description in RNAcentral is "partial 16S ribosomal RNA". It matches the Rfam family "Bacterial small subunit ribosomal RNA", at positions 28 to 507 of the family's 1533-position model. The record is from RNAcentral.